RNAcentral lists this unclassified non-coding RNA (2120 nucleotides) under Neodiprion pinetum (white pine sawfly). RNAcentral's name for it is "putative serine protease K12H4.7, transcript variant X4". The record is from RNAcentral. Lineage: Eukaryota; Metazoa; Arthropoda; Insecta; Hymenoptera; Diprionidae.
GUCAUAAACGACGUUGUUGUUGUCGUCGUCGCGCGUACCAGAUGUAUUCUCAGUAUCCUUGUCAAGCGCAUGCCUGAAGAAAUAAAACUACCUCUCCCAGAAUAACCCACACUCAUCCAUCAUCCAUAACCCGGUUGUUUCACAAUUGAUAGGCGUUAAUAUGCUUUUCAUUCGACUACUUGUAAUUCUGCUAGCUGGCGUUAAUGCUGCAUUAGCAUUGCGCAGUUUUGCACGUGGCAGAAGCAAGGGUGGAAACCUAGGAUCGCCUGUUCUCUCUAAAGAUUACGUGCCAGUUGAGGAUCAGUGGUUUGAACAAUUUCUUGACCAUUUCAACCCAACCGACGCUAGAACAUGGAAACAGCGAUAUUUUACCAAUUCCGGAUUCUACAAGAAAGGAGGGCCAGUCUUCCUUAUGAUUGGCGGGGAAGGAACUGCUAAUCCAAAGUGGAUGGCAGAAGGAGAAUGGAUUGAAUAUGCAAAGCAAUACGGAGCCUUGUGUUUCCAAUUGGAACAUCGCUUCUAUGGCAAAAGCCACCCGACUGCCGAUUUGAGUGUAAAAAAUCUCAUGUAUCUGAGCUCUGAACAGGCACUGGCCGAUCUUGCUUAUUUCAUCGAAGGGAUGAAUCUCAGACAUCAGAUUCCUGCAGGAACCAAAUGGAUCACUUUUGGCGGAUCUUAUCCAGGUUCUCUGGCUGCUUGGUCUCGAGCCAAGUAUCCUCACCUUGUUCACGGAGCCAUGUCAGCCAGUGGACCCCUUUUGGCACAGAUUGAUUUUCAGCAAUAUUACGUUGUAGUCGAAGAUGCCUUGCGAACCCAUUCCCAGGCAUGCAUCGAUGCAGUCGUUACUGCCAAUAAACAAGUUCACAUAAUGUUGCGUCAUCCUCUUGGCCAGAAGGGACUAGCGGAAAAAUUCAAGUUUUGCGACCCUAUUGACCCCGGUCACACGAAAAACAAUGAUAUAGCAAAUAUGUAUGAAUCACUGGCAAGCAAUUUCGCUGAGGUAGUACAGUACAACAAGGAUAAUCGUAAAAGUUCAAAAACGGCCAACAUAACGAUUGACACGAUCUGUAACAUCCUGGUAGAUGAGAACAGAGGUACACCUGUUUCUCGUCUAGCUCAGGUUAGCAAUUUACUUCUCAAGGCAAACGAUGAGAAAUGUUUCGACUAUAAAUAUAACAAAAUGAUCAGUGAACUUCGGAAUGUCAGCUGGGCUGAUGAGGCAGCAGAAGGAGGUCGACAAUGGACUUAUCAAACCUGCACCGAAUUCGGAUUCUUCCAGACAUCGACUGCGCGACCUCAGCUUUUCAGCGAAACUUUUCCAGUAGAUUUCUUUGUUCAGCAGUGCACUGACAUAUUUGGACCAAGAUACAAUAUACAUCUCCUGCAAUCUGCGGUCGAACGUACCAAUACAAUUUACGGAGCUUUCGAUUUGGAUGUCAGCAACGUGGUAUUUGUCCAUGGAAGUAUUGACCCGUGGCAUGCUCUUGGCAAGAUAAAGUCGACCAACCCUCGGGCACCAGCUAUUUACAUAAACGGCACGGCCCACUGCGCCAAUAUGUAUCCUCAGUCGGAUAAUGAUCCACCACAAUUGACCGAGGCCCGGAAACGCAUUGGUCAACUGAUUGGUCAAUGGCUUAAGAACUGAAAGACUGAUUUAAAUGAUAUGUAUUGUGGACGAUAAUAACUCUAAAUCCAAGCCAAGCUUAUCGAUAUGAUACAAAACAAGAUAGUUAAUUGGCUCCCUCAAAGCAAGGCCAAGGUAUUCAUUUCGGAUUCCUCCAAUAUCCACGUUAGUUCAAAACCGUUUUGUUAGCUUGUGUACAACAUCAUUUGUUGCAAAAGAUUAUAAGAUUAAUGUAUUUGAUGAUUUCGUGGUGUCCUAUAAUUAAAAUUCAGUAUAACAUGUGUAAUUAAAUAUGUAUGUAUGUAUGUAUGUAUAUGCAUUUGAUCGUUGUAUACAAUUUUUUUUUUAAUUCUUUUCUUUUUUGGCAUCCCUUGUGACCAGCGUUGACAAUAUUACAAUAGCAUAGAACUCUGCGAUAAGAAUAAAAUGAAUCAUUGCGAUUAUUGUGAUCAUAGUUUACUUGAUCAAUUAAUUAUUAUUUACAUCAAUACAUCAG